RNAcentral lists this long non-coding RNA (454 nucleotides) under Numida meleagris (helmeted guineafowl). RNAcentral's name for it is "lncRNA (ENSNMEG00000019103.1)". Lineage: Eukaryota; Metazoa; Chordata; Aves; Galliformes; Numididae. The record is from RNAcentral.
AAACUGCAGCUCAUAGAUAGCUUACUUUCUGAAUAAUAACCUUUCUCUCUACUAGGUCACUGGACAUUGCUUUUACUCCAUAUCUAAGAGUGCAUUAACCAGAACAAUGCUAUAUCUCAGGAUCUGUUACCAGGUCAAGAGGAAGAAAUACAUUAUACGUCAGACAUCUCAGUAGGUUUUUCAAGGAAUUUCUAAACCAGGCAUCUUGUCUUGAACUAGUAGUCUUCCCAGCCACUUCAUUAAGCCACUUCUUGACUAAAGCCAAUACAAUCACAGAAGGGAGAAGGGUCAGCAGCUAAGUCAACAUGUUAACUUGGCACACACAGCAUUAAUUUUGAAGGAGGCUAACUGCUAAAAAGGGAUUUUCCAAAUAUCACAAAGGAAACAUUUAAUUACAUUUGGGCCUGCUGAGCAUUCAAAGCCUAGUAAAACUAGUCAAAAGUGAGUUGAGAAU